This 25-nucleotide non-coding RNA is filed under the name Mus musculus (house mouse). RNAcentral also lists the same sequence under 1 other name. Lineage: Eukaryota; Metazoa; Chordata; Mammalia; Rodentia; Muridae. The record is from RNAcentral.
AGAUGAAGUAUAUACCACCCGACAA